GGUUUAAUUCGAUGCAACGCGAAAACCUUACCCACCUUGACAUGUACGGAACCCUUUAGAGAUAGAGGGGUGCUCGAAAGAGAGCCGUAACACAGGUGCUGCAUGGCUGUCGUCAGCUCGUGUCGUGAGAUGUUGGGUUAAGUCCCGCAACGAGCGCAACCCUUGUCAUUAGUUGCUACAUUCAGUUGGGCACUCUAAUGAGACUGCCGGUGUUAAACCCGGAGAAAGGUGGGGAUGACGUCAAGUCCUCAUGGCCCUUAUGUCCAGGGCUACACACGUGCUACAAUGGCCGGUACAAAGGGCUGCAAUACCGCAAGGUGGAGCGAACCCCAAAAAGCCGGUCUCAGUUCGGAUUGGAGUCUGCAACUCGACUCCAUGAAGUUGGAAUCGCUAGUAAUCGCGGAUCAGCAUGCCGCGGUCGAAUACGUUCCCGGGCCUU
Molecule: ribosomal RNA, 439 nt
Filed under: uncultured Pelobacter sp.
Lineage: Bacteria; Pseudomonadati; Thermodesulfobacteriota; Desulfuromonadia; Desulfuromonadales; Desulfuromonadaceae
Description: bacterial SSU rRNA
Rfam family: Bacterial small subunit ribosomal RNA
Source: RNAcentral